This is a small nucleolar RNA of Nannospalax galili (Upper Galilee mountains blind mole rat), 69 nucleotides long. RefSeq annotates it as small nucleolar RNA SNORD95. The record is from RefSeq and is a predicted model, not a curated record. NCBI's taxonomy places the organism in Eukaryota, Metazoa, Chordata, Mammalia, Rodentia, Spalacidae. The transcript has a single exon.
CAAGCAGUGAUGACCCCAACAUGCCAUCUGAGUUGCACUGCUGAAAUCUAGAGGCAAAAAAAUAAAUUA